Molecule: ribosomal RNA, 460 nt
Filed under: uncultured bacterium
Lineage: Bacteria
Description: partial 16S ribosomal RNA
Rfam family: Bacterial small subunit ribosomal RNA
Source: RNAcentral
CCUACGGGAGGCUGCAGUGAGGAAUAUUGGUCAAUGGCCGAAAGUCUGAACCAGCCAAGUAGCGUGAGGGAUGACUGCCCUAUGGGUUGUAAACUUCUUUUAUAUGGGAAUAAAAUGUUCCACGUGUGGAAGUUUGUAUGUACCAUAUGAAUAAGGAUCGGCUAACUCCGUGCCAGCAGCCGCGGUAAUACGGAGGAUCCGGGCGUUAUCCGGAUUUAUUGGGUUUAAAGGGAGCGUAGGUGGGUUGUUAAGUCAGUUGUGAAAGUUUGCGGCUCAACCGUAAAAGUGCAGUUGAAACUGGCAGUCUUGAGUACAGUAGAGGUGGGCGGAAUUCGUGGUGUAGCGGUGAAAUGCUUAGAUAUCACGAAGAACCCCGAUUGCGAAGGCAGCUUACUGGACCGCAACUGACACUGAGGCUCGAAAGUGUGGGUAUCAAACAGGAUUAGAUACCCCGGUAGUC